GAACCUGUAACAACUACAUACGACACAAACUUGCUUGACUGAUUGUGAAAGCUAAUCAAACUAAUAAUGGAUUCUUGAUGAAUACAAAUGGGGUGCACGGAAAGAGCCUCCCCGUGAUGUACAAAUGUUUUUAGUACGCCUUGCGCACCCUGGGCAACAAUCAGCAAGUACCUUACGUCGAUUGGCAAAUGCUUUCAUCACGAUGAUGGCAAACAUAUACCAUGUAAAGGUCGAUGUUUAGAAGAUAUAGAUAAUUGUGUAAUUACUACAUUUUUUUUGGACACUGCCAGUUU
Long non-coding RNA from Hyposmocoma kahamanoa, 293 nucleotides. RefSeq lists it as uncharacterized. Lineage: Eukaryota; Metazoa; Arthropoda; Insecta; Lepidoptera; Cosmopterigidae. The transcript is spliced from 3 exons. The record is from RefSeq and is a predicted model, not a curated record.